CGGUUCCGUAGGUGGUAAUNGGGAAUUNNCGAAUAAUUUUUCAAUUAGAAAGCUAAUUGGCGNAAAAACUUAUUAAUAAGGAACCGAUGAUAGAAUAAUUUAUAUGUAAAUUAUUUUGUCAACACAGAUAGAUAUGAUAAAGAUCAACAAAUCUAUACUUUAAAAAAACAAAAAAAUUUAGUAGAAGUAUGCUUUCUAUAACUAAAUUUGCUUUUUUAAUUUCUGAAAUUGUAAUUUAAAAAUUUAUAGUAAAACCAAUAUUUUUGGUUUAUAUUUAAGUUGAGAAAAUUGUAAACUUGAAUAUAAACUAAAAAUUUUAUUUACCACCUCUAUUCGCCCUAGCUUGGCGACUGGAGGACGCACGUUCCGUCCGCGAGAGGGUCGACUCGAUAUAGGGGUAAGUAUAUAAUUCUAAUUUUCAUUUCUAAUAUUACCACCCGGAUGGUCCUGAACUUGGACCCUGGAGUGCUAAUAGUCAGCUCGCGAGAUCGGUCGACUCGAUAUCCGGGUAAUAAUAGAGAAUAUUAGAAAUAUUUGGCUUGUAUUAUAAUACCUAUAAAUGGGUUAACAAACGAUUGAAACAAUCGAAACCUCUUCAAUUUGCUUAUUGAAGAGAGAAGAGACUUUCCUCCACUAGGUUGGCGUCCAAGAGGAUGCCAAUGGAACAAUGCUGAAGUGGGGUCAGCGACUUAGGUGACACCUCCCAUCGAUGAAAUCGUAGGGGCGAAGCUUACUCAAGUUGAGGGUACCACACUGCCCGCCACUCAUGUUCUGGGCCCUUGCAUAAGUGGCAUCGUAACGACUAGAUGCUAAUGAUCGCUAAGGUUGAAGUUCGUGAGCUCAACGUCUCACGAUAGGCUUGACCCUCCGUAAAAACUCUAAACGAGGNGGAGCGCCAUAGCGACGAGAAACAUCNGGGGUAACNUCGUGCACACAUCGGGNCCCUGCAUUCCCCGGUNCUACUGACCUGCAGCAGG
Molecule: ribosomal RNA, 977 nt
Filed under: uncultured bacterium
Lineage: Bacteria
Description: eukaryotic LSU rRNA
Source: RNAcentral